Molecule: long non-coding RNA, 722 nt
Organism: Amphibalanus amphitrite
Lineage: Eukaryota; Metazoa; Arthropoda; Thecostraca; Balanomorpha; Balanidae
Exons: 3
Source: RefSeq, a predicted model, not a curated record
GGUGGGGGCUGAGUUGUGCGCCGGGGACCGCGGGGGGCGGCGGGGGAGUGUUGUGGCUGCAGUGCGCAGAGUGGGUUUGCCCAUUCUUGUGCGAUCAGUGAGAUAAAACAGUGCUGUGGUGUUUAUCUAGUUCGAUAAUAAGCUGAGUAAUGAGUGAAUAAGUGAAUAACAAGUGAAAUACUGCAUUGUGGUCAUCGUCUGAUAACUGCAAUCAAGACCGAGUCUGAAAUCUGAAGCGGAGCGACAUUGGAGGAGCUGCUGGAAAUUAUCCAGCUUUGUCGGAGUGCUAAGCGAGUUGACGGCGGUGCCGCCCUGCUCCGUCGUGGCCCAGCUGUGAAAUCGAUGCCCAGCCGGCUCGGCCUGCCGCGCGUGCUCCUCCACGAGCUUCACAGCCCGAUCGAUGCGUUACGAGAUCGCCAGCUACUGAUCAGCAGCAACUGCUUUCCAUCGUGACACUGCUGGAAACUCAGUAAAUCCACCGAGGCUCUCCUCAGGUCACGGGCGGAUCGACUGUCGUCGGUCUCGACUACCUGAGACCGUCGGCGGCGUCGGCGGUCAGCGCGCGCAGCUGUGGCGGCCGACGCGCCGGCGCCGGCGGGCCGGCGAGGUCGACCCGAUGCGACAGUGUGACCUUGUACGAGUCACCGAAGACGGCGAGAGUUCGUAGCAAGAACAUGGGCUGAAGUAAAAACUUUAUCGAAAUAGAUAUUUUUGUAUACCUA